GCAGACUCACUCUGUACCGAACUGCAAUCUUCAGUUCAGGUGCUUUUUCUGUCUGCGAGAGUAAUCACUCACAGGCAUGAUGAAGGCCUUCUUUCUUGCAGAAGGCUGUUACAAUUGCUACUGGGACACUGCU
Molecule: small nucleolar RNA, 133 nt
Filed under: Numida meleagris (helmeted guineafowl)
Lineage: Eukaryota; Metazoa; Chordata; Aves; Galliformes; Numididae
Description: Small nucleolar RNA SNORA77 (ENSNMEG00000012564.1)
Rfam family: Small nucleolar RNA SNORA77
About the family: ACA63 (SNORA77) is a member of the H/ACA class of snoRNAs that guide the sites of modification of uridines to pseudouridines. This snoRNA was identified by computational screening and its expression in mouse experimentally verified by Northern blot and primer extension analysis. ACA63 is proposed to guide the pseudouridylation of 18S rRNA U814.
Source: RNAcentral